Molecule: microRNA, 22 nt
Filed under: Branchiostoma floridae (Florida lancelet)
Lineage: Eukaryota; Metazoa; Chordata; Leptocardii; Amphioxiformes; Branchiostomatidae
Description: bfl-miR-2058-3p
Source: miRBase by way of RNAcentral
GGGUGGGGUCUUGCUUCUUUCU